Rhea pennata is the source of this 9905-nucleotide RNA transcript. It is a transcript of the gene named centrosomal protein 164, with no coding region annotated. NCBI's taxonomy places the organism in Eukaryota, Metazoa, Chordata, Aves, Rheiformes, Rheidae. The record is from RefSeq and is a predicted model, not a curated record. The transcript has 36 exons.
GGCCGCCCGCGGCCUCCGGGGGGGCGGCGAGCGGCGGCUCCUGCGCGGUGCAGGGAGGGUGUAUGCUCCUGAACAGCCAUGGCAGGAACUAUGGUACGCAUUGGUGACCAGCUCAUCCUGGAAGAAGAUUACGAUGAGACAUACAUUCCCAGUGAGCAAGAAAUCCAGGAUUUUGCAAGGGAGAUCGGGAUUGACCCUGAGAAGGAGCCGGAGCUGAUGUGGCUUGCCAGGGAAGGCAUCGUGGCUCCACUGCCACCUGAGUGGAAGCCCUGCCAGGAUAUCACAGGUGACAUCUACUACUUCAACUUUGCUAAUGGCCAGUCCACGUGGGACCACCCCUGUGAUGACCACUACCGAGAGCUUGUUAUCCAGGAGCGAGAGAAGCUCUUGUUACAAGGCAGAUUGAAAAAGAAAGAGAAGAAGAAGAAGAAAGAAAAGAAAGACAAAAAAGACAAGAAAGAGAAGCAGACGCUGAAGCAGGCUUCAUCUUCAGGCACCCUGCUGGCACCCGUGCAGGCUCCCUUGGGGAAUCUCGCACCAUUGCGUGGUCUUGGGGACUCUCCUGCUGGCGUCCUUCGUGGCUCAUUGAACUCUGACGUGGGAAGCUCUGUGGACUCCAGUCUCCUGCUCAGAGGAGGACCUCAGCCUACAGAGACCUGUAAGCCCACCAGCCAUACCAAGAAGUUGCUGGGACUGCUCUGUGAUGAGAAGGGUUCCUUAAACACAGUGGCUCUAGAUAAAAGGACAAGUGAAGAGGAAGAAAGUGAGCAUGAGAGUCUCCAUGGAACUGCAAGACUGUUCAAAAACCUGCACAUCGAUGUCAGUGCCCUGGGAGGCAGUUUUGAAUCUGAGGAGAAGAACAAAGGUGAGGAGGAGAACGGUGGCAGCCAGUUAGCUGAUGUCGCUGAAGCCGAUCUCCAGCGCCGAAGGAGCCCCGCGAAGGAAGCUGGCAGUCUGAGAGAGAAGGAGUCUUUAAAAUCGAGACAUGCUGAAGAAUGGCAAGAGUCUUCCUUGGAUUCUGACGAUGCAUAUCCUCCAACUCCAGUUAAAGUCCUUCCUGGAGAUGCUGACAGUAGCCUGUCUGGCCAGAACAAAGAGGAGUCUGAUGGUAAACUUGCUGGUAAUGAACUGCUGGGCAAGAAAGAUGCUGAGGUGGAAGGUGAAGUCUCUGCAGUUGAGGAGUUGCCACAGUCUCUGGGGGAGAGGAGAGCAGCCGGGACAGAUGUACCUAGCAGUCCCAGGCAACCUAGAGCUGCAUCUCCAGACGCUGGAGCUGCUGAAGCAGAUCAGCUGGCAAGCCUGGCUGUCACCGUCGACACUGUAUCUGUUGAUGAAAAGAUUGUAAAUGAAAUAAGGGAAGAAGCAGCUGAUCUGAAAACAGACAGCAGGCUGGAUGCUGGCAAACUUUCAAAGGCAUCGGAGACCAGUGAAUGUGGAGAGGACUUGCCAGUUUCUAACCAUUCAGAUCAUGAGCUGAUACAGCCUGUGGACCUGCAUUUCCAGAGUCGACUUUCUGAGCAGGUACUGGAUGUGGGUAGUCUUUCUCCUGUUUUGGACAGCCCCAUGUGCAAGGCACAGGAGCUGGGAGAAGAGGAAAAAGACCAAAGCAAAGCCAGUAUAGAGGAAGAGCAAAGCAAAAGAACAAAAGCUGCUAAGAGUGAGAGGGAUCAAAGUGAAACCUCAGAACAGAAGUGUUUUGCUUUAGAAACCUCCAAACAGGAAGAGGCUGUGGCCCUGGAGCUGGAGGAGGGAUCGCUGGAUAGCCUGAUCAAUCUGGAGGAGCUUGCUGCCCCACAGAAGGCGCAACCUGAGGAGGAAAUCAAACAGGAGAAGACCUUGAACCAGUCUAAUGAAGAAUCCCUAGAGGGAAUAGCCAAGGAGCUGGAGAAAGAGGUGGAGCAAGAGAAAAUGCAUUUAUUGCAAGCAAAGAAGGAGAAAAUUCAGCAGUUCCAGGAGGAGGUGAGGCGGCAGGAGGAGGAAGAAGCUCAAAAGCUUCAUCAGCAGAAAGAAAAAUCCCUCAGGACUCUGAAAGAGGAUUUGGCAAAGGCUUCCAAAGAGGAAGAGUUGCGGGUGAGAAAGGAAGAAACUGAGAGACUUUCAAAGCUGCGAAUCCAAAUCAUCUCAGAGACUGAGGCAGAGAAGCAGAAGAUAAGGGCAGAGCAAGAGGUCACGCUGCAAAAACUGAGAGAAGAGUGGGAAUCUCUGCAGGUGACAGAGAAGGAGAACCUGGAGGGGAUGAAAAAGCUUAUUUUGGAGAAAAUGAGGUUGGAAAUGGAGGAUGCUCAGCAGAAUGAGAUGGUCGGGUUGGAACAAGAAAAGGAACAAUUCCUGAGCGAGUUCAAGGAGAGAUUGGAAAGGGAAAAAAAGAAGGCCACAGAUGAGCUAGAGAAGCAGUUUGCAACAGAGCUCCAGCAGCUGAAGUGUGCAGCAGCAGAGAAACAUCAAAAGGUCAUUUCCAGCCUGCAAACCCAGAUAGCAGAGGCACAGAGGAGUGAAGAGGCUCAGCUGCGCGAAGACUUGCAGAGAGCAGAGCAGAAAGUCCAGCAAAAAGUAUUCCAAGUAACAGAAUAUGAACGUGAGCUCAGUGAACUUUUGAGAGAGAAACGCCAGGCAGUGGAAAAAGACCAUGAGAGGAAAAUGGAGAGGAUGAAAGAAGAGCACCAGGAGGUCCUAGCAAGGAUUCAGGAUCAGUAUGAGGAGGAGGAGAGAAAACAAAGAGCGGAGCUGUCUGAGGGCCUGCGAAGUGAGGUGGUGCGCCUCCGACACCUUCAUGAAGUAGAAGUGAAAGCUCUGCAGGCAGAGCUGGAUGAGCGGCUCACUGAAUUGCAGCGCAGGCACAGGGAGAAGGAAAAAAAGCUCCAGGAUUCAGAAAAUGAGCUUGAAAUGCGAGCAAAGGCUGCCAAGGCCAGAUCAGUGCAGCUCCUUAACCAGGAGGAGACUCUGAGAAAGAAAAGGCAGCAGCUGCUGGAUGAAGACAGACGGACUGAGCUAGAGAGAGAGGAAGCUCUUUUGGCUUCUCAGCUCCGUCUAGAGGAGAACAGAAAGGUGCACACCGGCCUUCUCGACUCCAUCCGGCAACUGCGUAAAUCUCUUGAAGAGCUCCAAGAUCAGAAAGCUGAGCUGGAGGCCCAGGUGGACUUGCUGCAGACUCGAAGCCAGAGGCUGCAGAAGCGCAUCAAUGAGCUUGAGGCAACUAUCAGGAGCAAACAGGAGACUUUGAAAGAGCUAGAGGGAGAAGAAACUGUAGAAUCUCCAAGAGGGAAAGCUGAGCUCCACGUUGAAGACCUGGGAGAAACUAUUCAAGCUCACUCAUCCAGAAUGCCUGCUUCCCCACCCUCUCCAAGCCGUGAGGAUGACUUCCAGUUUGAUCACAUCAGGAGCUACAUCUCUGCAGAAGGGAUCUCUAUUAGGAAUGCAAAGGAGUUCCUGGUGCGCCAGACUCGCUCCAUGAGGAAGAGGCACACAGCACUGAAAGCUGCAAAGCAGCAGUGGCGCCAGGACAUGCAGAAAGCACAGGAGGUGGUGCAGGAUCCUGACAGCUCCCAGCUCCUGGAGGGCAUGCGCAGGAACUUGGAAGAGGAAGCGAAGCAGUUGGACAAGAUGAAGUUGGCUAUGCGGAAAGGACAGGUGCUGCUGAAGAAGAAGGAAGAAAAGCUCAGCCAGCUGGAGUCGUCAAUUUUGGAAGAGCUUUCAGAUGAAGAUACGCUGAAGAGUGCUGCGUGCAAAAAGAUGGUGACUUUUGAUCUCAGCAACUCUGAGGACACAAACAGCACGUCCAGUGCAGAUGUACAUCAGCCUAAAUUUGAUUUGAGAACUGAUCUACAGACUGACCCCCAGCUGGACAAGAUCCAGUACUUGACAGACUCCCUGCGCCGCAUCACUAGUGAGCUGAACGGAGUCCUCGGUGUUUUGGGCUCUCUGAACAAUCGUCAGUCUCCGCUCUUCACCUCAACACAGGUGCCCGUGCAGGUGCCCUGCGACGGCGUCCCUCUUUCUGCCUAUGCAUCCUUGGCAGGAGUUCAGGCAGGUGGCUCCUUGGUGCCUCCCACCAAGGUGUCUCUGGUUGACCGGUGGGCCUGGAACACUGGGCUGAGCUCCAGCCACUCUUUCACAGCUGGACAGUCAGUGGAUAGCACCCUGGCAGAGAAAUGGCACAAGUAUUUCCCAGGUGGGAAACCAUCGCUCAGUGGAAGUUCUACUUUUCUGGAGAGCAAGCUGGGUUACGUACCUGCAGAUGAGCAAAUCCGCCUGUUCCAGCACUCCCAGUUCCGAGGCUCUGAGUCAAAUAGGAUGAGUAUUCAAGGAAUGAUUGAGACCAACAAGAAAUGGCUAGAGGACUUCAAGAGGGAUUCAGAAGUCUGGGUGCAGAGCUGUCCCCGGGAAGAUGAGGCUGCAUCGUGCUUGCAUGGAUCUGGGCCUUGCUCGGGAACUGCUCUCCGGCAACUUGGGAUGUGUUAAAGUUGGUAAACUCUGCAGAUUGGCUGCCACUGCCGAUUUCUCCGUUUAUUUCGGAGCAGCCGUGAAUUCUUGCCCGAGUGGUGUUAUAGGUCCUGCUGUUGCUGCAGUGUGCUUGCCCGAGUCCUGCUGCUUGGAUCGCUGAAUAACGCUCUCACCGUAAAUCAGGCAGGAUUGGUGAUGUGCUUUUCUCUCCCCAUGGCUUGUUCCUUUUCCCUUCUUAUCUCCUUCCAGCAGCCCCAGGACACCCGUGGCCAGCCCUUCCUAGCUGUGCAUGUUUGCCCCUUUGUGAUUUUCCUUUUGAGGUAGUCUUUCAUUAAAGACUCAGCUUGUCCUCUGUCUGAAAGCACUGCAGCAAAGGCUGCCUCUGUCCAAACGGGGCGUUCACAGCGUGCAUCCUGGCUGGGGACUCUCCAGCGCUGAGAGACGGUGGAAGAGUAACACAGACAGUCACAGAAGGGAUGGGGAGAGGGGAGCUUCGACACCUGCCCUUGUAUUCCCAGCUCUGCUUCUUCUGUUUGGUGCACUGUUGGCUGGAAAAGGCUGGCGUGGAUGGGGAUGUGGGGACCCUGGGUGGGCAUAGCCUGAUCUGAGCUGCUGGUGCAUUGGAGAACGGACCAAAAGGCAAAUGCGGUCCCAGGAUGCACGAGGCGCACAGAAGUGUGCAGGGGCUGGGACGAUACUGUGCACAGUUGUGUUCUGUUUGUGGAGGGAGGGCUGGAAAGGAAGGAGUGUGAUUGCUGCUGUGCAUGCGGGGAAGGGAGGAGAGCUGUUGAAGCUGAAGGACAGACCUGGCACAGGAACAGCAUCAGCUGGCUGUGCAGAAAUGGAGGCUCAUAGAUGCAUGCCCUUAAAAACAAGAACCGGACAACCCCUCGACCCUGAAUUACCACGGUUCUUGCUGUGCUUGAUCUGCACAUGUGUGUCUGUGCCCACUGGAGAGCUGCAGUAAGAGCUACUCGGGCAGGACUCUGACAGCAAUGCACCUUGCCCAGGUAAGCGUAUUUGAGGGCAGGUAGUUCUUGUUGUGGCACCCAUUGACCUACAAGCAGUGUACAGCACUGGCUCUCGAGUCCUGCCUGCUCUGAAAAUACCCUUUCCUGGCCCAUUUUCCCUCCUCCCCCACAGUAUGGGAGGAGAACGAUGCUCUAUUGUGUGUUAUUGCUGCUGCUGGCCUGUUCACGGCUUGCCUUGUCCAACGAUGUUGAUGCUGCUUGGCCACAGGUAACCCAAAAGUGCCUUGUUGGUGCUGGAGGCUUUGCUGAAAUCCUGCUGGGAGGCAGUCGCAAGCAGAGGAGGUUUGCUCUGUGUCAUUUCUCAGCUCCCUUCGAGCUGAGCCUGAGGUGCGGGGGGUGCAAGCAUGCGUAAUGGGCACAGGCUUGCGCUUGCCUGCAUGUGUACACAGGGAACAAGAGGAUUUGCUUUUCCUGGAAUGGCAGUAUCUUGUAUGUUGGAGAAAUUCAGUGAUUAGAAGAGCAAAAGGACAGCGUGCAAUUACUCUGCCGAAUGAAUGUGAGCCGUAAGCUCAUUAAGGGACUUGGAGGCUGCCUGCUGGAGAAGGUGUCAUUCCAGUCACUGGCUAUUCACAGACCACUGUGCCUCGCUCCGAGUGUUGAUUUCCCAGAACAGCAGCAGCCCCUUUGGACACUGCAGCCAUGCUGGCAACCCUGAUGACGGCGCUGUUUUUCGUGGUGAGAGCAGUUGGACAGAGCUCAGCAGGGAAACCUGCUGCCACUGCAUCUUUCCUUCCUGAUCUGCUGCUGGUGACUCCGUAAUCAUCUCUGGCAAGCGAGUAAGUAUGGUGGCAGACUGGACAGUUAGGGUGUCAGUGGGAGGAGGAAGAGUGUGGCAGUGAGCGUGCCCUUGGUGCACAGGGUCCCUGGCUGGUGUGUCCCCGCUCUGCCGCGCCUGGGCCUUGUCUCUUUGAGGCAUGAACCCCUGGGGCAGCUGUGAGAACAUGCAGCAAGAAUCGCAGGUCAGUCUGGUGCCAGGAAGGCAAGCUGGGCACCACCACGGUUAGCAAGGCAGCUCGGAGGUGUGAUCGCUGGAGGCGACGGGUGUGGAGGAGCAGCUCUUUCUGCCUCUCCUCCUCUCCUCUCCCUCUCACCUGCUGCAAUCCUCUCCCUGCAUCCAGCUCGGGACCAGCCUCUUCCAUGAAGAGCCCCUGCCGUAUCUCGUGUAUCAGCCCCUGCCCUGGCAGAUCCAGUAUGUGACACAGAGUCGCCGCACCAGCCGGGACAGCGAGAAAGGCAGGAGCUCUCGACACAACAGCAUCUACUCAAUCCCUGGACAGACAGGCAACGAGACCCCUGAUGCCAGCAGCGAGAGCAAGUUGUUCUGCGACCCUUCUGAGAAGGCAGCCGUCACCAUCCAGACUCACUUCAGGAGAUACCAGCAGCACAAGAAGGAGAAGGCAUAGACGUGCCGGCCACCCUGCUCUGCACCACCCCUCCUUCUGUCCGUUCUGUACCCCAGAGAGACUCGCAGCCAUGGUGGCUGUGACCCUGCUCCCUCAUACGUAGCUCUUGGUGUGUGCGCAGCUGUAGAUACCCUUUUGGUGUUUGCAUUGGCAGCUGGUCAGAGCAAAAUCUCUUUCCUGGAUGUGUUGUCGGAGCAGUGAUGUGCUGACGUCGCUGCAUGGACCCGUGGGCUCCCUAGAGUAGACCUGAGCAAGACACUGGGUCCAUGAAUAUGCUGCAAUAGCCUGCUGGGAGGAUUUAGAGUUUUUCUGCAGCCACAAGAUUUCUAGGAAGCUGUUGAGCAAAAACAGAGGCCUGUGCAUCACUGCUGACCAGGGCUGUCCUGCUGCAGGUGAGCGAGGUCCCUUGGUGGGGUUACGAGCAGCUGCGUCCCGCAGACACGGUAAGUCGGCCCCCAGGUGUGGGGCUCAGAGUGCCCCUGGCCACCCACGCACCUUAGUAUUGUCCCAUGACGACUUACCUAAGAGUGAGCCAGACAAUGUCUGUGGUCCUAAAAGACCCUGUCAGAGCUGCUUAGCGAGAGCUGCUGCAUUGAAUUGCUUUGGUUAUGUCCUGUGUACAAAUGCUGUACAAAAUCUAGGCACUCGUGGCGUGCUAAAUUGGAAAAUCACCAUGGCUUUAUUGUCUUCAAAAACCCGUUAAAAAUGAAUGCAUAAGAAAACUCAUGCAUAGAAGUAAAUGUUAUUCAGAACCGCAUUUGGAAUCCAUAUUAAAAACAAUCCCAAAUACUGCAGAAAGAGCCUAAUCCCGUUUCACACGCGGAUUUGGGGGCAAGCUGAUCACUCCUGACAUGACGUCUCAGCACAGCCAAAUGGGCGACUCCAGACGCAGGGCAACAACCCGGAACCUCCUGGGAAAUUCCUGGGUCUCUGCUGGACCUUCCCGAAUGCAGGCAAGCCCCGGCACUCCUUCGGAAGGACAGCGCGUGCAGGUGAGCCCCAGCCACCGACAGAGGCAGAGCAGCUCGGACGAGAGGGUCAGGCAGAGCAAAUGCAGCAUCUUUGACCAGGCCAUUUGCUUCAGACACAAAAUAAAACCCAAAAAACCCCACCCUGCCCCACAACAGUUCUCUCUCCAAGGAAAGCUUUACAGGGAUAGAUGGAGCUUUUGGUGCAAAACCUGGCGUGGGAGCUAUUCGCCGAGGCACUUGCCCUGCUCACCCGGCGCCCUGCCGCCAGCCUCUCCGUGAGGUGUACACGUCCGUACCCCAAAUGCUCCUUUGCGCAGGGUGGUGCCAAAAUACUCACCAGGAGUGAUACCAGUGAGCAUAAGGAAUUGUAGUGACAGCUCCUUUCCUGAACCCCAGAGAGUAACUGUCCAUUUCAGGCUACUGCUGAGGCAUUUAAAACGAGCUGGAGCUGUAAGAGUUGUUUUACCUGGAAACAAACAUGCAAACAACAUCAAAGGCAGCCCUGCUGACCAGUGCGCCAGCACAAGUGGCUGCUGGAACAGCAAGCCGAAAACUGAAGUAGCAGGUAAUGAUGUUGCCAGUAACUGUUGUUUUUGCCCAUAAGAAAGAUUUUUUGCUGUAACUGAAUGAACAAAUCAAUGAGAGGUGUUAAAAAAAAAGAAAAAAAAAAACCCUAAUGCUAUAUAACAACAAGUGAUUGUAACUGCAGUGGUAGAAAUAAUGCUUCUUUCAAGAAUUAAAAAAAUAUAUAUUUUUUUUAAAAAAACCCCAAACUAUGCACGUGUCACAGCUGCUAAUUUAAGUUAAAAGGACAAGCUUAUUUGUUUGUUGUAAAGAAGACAUGGAACUAGUGGGUACCAAGCAUGGAUUAAGAAAUGGUAAAAACAAUUUAAAAUAUGAGCUAGUAAACUGGAAGAAAUAAGGAAACAAAAAUGCACUUGCAACGAAAGCUAGACCAUCACCUUCCAGAGGGGGAGCUGGUGCUAUUGCAGGUCUAACGGAGUAAAACGACCGUGUCUAGCAGCCGUUCUUGCCUGCCUGGGCAGCGGGGAAGGGGAAGGAAGGUUGCCAGCCCCGGGGGUGCUGGGGACAGGUGCUGCCUGCCUUUAGCUGGGCUUGCGCAGCUGUGUGUGCAGCAAGGGGAAGGGUUUGAUGCGUUUCUUUAGUGUUUUUACUUGCUGCAGCCGAGGAGAAAAACCACCCAAGGAGGAGGGGUGUGCUGGACUUCACAGCCUGGUGGAGCCGGGCCACGGUUAACGGCGCUUUGCUGGAGUCACCGGCCGUCGCGCCGGGCUCUGCCGCGCGCUGCUCGGCCGCGCCGGUGCCGCGCUUCGCCUGCCUUCCCCGGCUCGGCGAUUCAUGGUGCGAUUCGCGGGGUAAGUAAGCGGGGUGCCGCCAGAGCCGGCCUUGCCGAACAGCAGCGCGCUGCGUGCCCGGACACCGUCUCCGCUCCUUCCUCCCGCGGCACCCCCCGUCCCCGUCCCAGCUCCCCGUCUGCUCAUUUAAGAAACACCCACGUUAUAAACAUAACCUUUAUUGCACACAGCGCUGGGUUUUUUUUCAUAGAAAAAGGUAUUAACACAUAAGCAUUUGCAAAUUGAAGCAACUCCUGUUGUUUUCAGAACAGUAAAAUAGCAUGCAAUGUCUUCAAGACGUUCCUUUUUCAAAACCACCGACAAGAUCAGGGAAAAAAAAGUCGCUGAGUCUUUCCUUGUGCCCCUUUCAAAAUGAUGUGAAAUAUAUAUAUAUGUUUACAUAUAUAUUAUAUUUUUAAAUCUGUAACAUCAAAUUCUUUGUGCCCUGGUUUCUUUUUCUGUUUGGAGAAGAAGAAAAUAGUUUCAUUUAUACAAAAGAGUUCCUUAUGUACAAGAGUUUUUGUUAUUUAAAUAUAAAUAGCGCGGGAAACCAGCAAAGUUCAUUGUGUGUGUGUGUGUGUGUGUGUGUGUGUGUGUUUUCUAGUUUCCUACACGAGAGUGUAGGAUUUGGAAUAUGCUCCAGCCCCUUGUUUUUGAGACCUUCCUAUACCAGAUGUGCUCAUUUCUAGUAGCGAGUCCCUCGAG